AGUCGAGGGGUAUAGUUCUUCGGAGCUAGAGACCGGCGCACGGGUGCGUAACGCGUAUGCAAUCUGCCUUUCACAGAGGGAUAGCCCAGAGAAAUUUGGAUUAAUACCUCAUAGUAUUAUGGAAGGGCAUCCUUUUAUAAUUAAAGUCACAACGGUGAAAGAUGAGCAUGCGUCCCAUUAGCUAGUUGGUAAGGUAACGGCUUACCAAGGCAACGAUGGGUAGGGGUCCUGAGAGGGAGAUCCCCCACACUGGUACUGAGACACGGACCAGACUCCUACGGGAGGCAGCAGUGAGGAAUAUUGGUCAAUGGGCGCAAGCCUGAACCAGCCAUGCCGCGUGCAGGAUGACGGUCCUAUGGAUUGUAAACUGCUUUUGUACGAGAAGAAACACUGAUUCGUGAAUCAGCUUGACGGUAUCGUAAGAAUAAGGAUCGGCUAACUCCGUGCCAGCAGCCGCGGUAAUACGGAGGAUCCAAGCGUUAUCCGGAAUCAUUGGGUUUAAAGGGUCCGUAGGCGGUUUAGUAAGUCAGUGGUGAAAGCCCAUCGCUCAACGGUGGAACGGCUAUUGAUACUGCUGAACUUGAAUUAUUAGGAAGUAACUAGAAUAUGUAGUGUAGCGGUGAAAUGCUUAGAUAUUACAUGGAAUACCAAUUGCGAAGGCAGGUUACUACUAAUGGAUUGACGCUGAUGGACGAAAGCGUGGGGAGCGAACAGGAUUAGAUACCCUGGUAGUCCACGCCGUAAACGAU
RNAcentral lists this ribosomal RNA (749 nucleotides) under uncultured Bacteroidota bacterium. RNAcentral's name for it is "bacterial SSU rRNA". It matches the Rfam family "Bacterial small subunit ribosomal RNA", at positions 60 to 810 of the family's 1533-position model. Lineage: Bacteria; Pseudomonadati; Bacteroidota. The record is from RNAcentral.